UUAGGAAUCUUCCACAAUGGGCGAAAGCCUGAUGGAGCGACGCCGCGUGAGGGAUGAAGGCCUUAGGGUUGUAAACCUCUAAAAGAGGGACGAUAAUGACGGUACCUCUUGAAUAGCACCGGCUAACUCCGUGCCAGCAGCCGCGGUAAUACGGAGGGUGCAAGCGUUAUCCGGAAUCACUGGGCGUAAAGGGCGCGUAGGCGGUCUGUUAAGUCCGAUGUUAAAUCCCGGGGCUCAACCCCGGAUAAGCGUUGGAUACUGGCAGGCUAGACGGUCGGAGAGNGGAGUGGAAUUACCAGUGUAGCGGUGGAAUGCGUAGAUACUGGUAGGAACACCCAUUGCGAAGGCAGCUCGCUGGACAACACGUGACGCUGAGGCGCGAAAGUGUGGGGAGCAAACC
RNAcentral lists this ribosomal RNA (400 nucleotides) under uncultured bacterium. Its description in RNAcentral is "bacterial SSU rRNA". It matches the Rfam family "Bacterial small subunit ribosomal RNA", at positions 355 to 774 of the family's 1533-position model. The record is from RNAcentral.